RNAcentral lists this non-coding RNA (21 nucleotides) under Caenorhabditis elegans. Lineage: Eukaryota; Metazoa; Nematoda; Chromadorea; Rhabditida; Rhabditidae. The record is from RNAcentral.
UUAAUCAAUCAAUUUACUAUA